This is a non-coding RNA of Gymnothorax javanicus (giant moray), 72 nucleotides long. The record is from the annotation of a GenBank genome assembly. NCBI's taxonomy places the organism in Eukaryota, Metazoa, Chordata, Actinopteri, Anguilliformes, Muraenidae.
GGCUCUUUGGCGAUGUGGUCAGCGCAUGUGACUCUUACCCGGAAGUCGGGGUUCAAUCCCCCGCCCGGGCCA